RNAcentral lists this small RNA (754 nucleotides) under Arabidopsis thaliana (thale cress). Its description in RNAcentral is "ATSL017490". The record is from RNAcentral. Lineage: Eukaryota; Viridiplantae; Streptophyta; Magnoliopsida; Brassicales; Brassicaceae.
UAUUAUUUUGAAAAACAAUCCGAAUAACCCUAGUUACUAAAACAAACAAGAAACAAAAUAUAUGAUCAAUGAGUAUGAGAAGGUAGUACCUUCCUCUUGGAACUCUACAAACUCGUUCAUAAUCAUUAAUAUUCAUAUUCACGGGAUGGUGACAAUGUUCUUGUGCAUUGUUAGCACAUGCAUAUAGCCGACACUGUUGAUUAACUGUUGAAAUGGCGUUAGAGGAUAUUUGUCAUAUGGUAUCUCGUCCCUUUGUUCACUGUUGGCAACCUAAACUCAAAUAAUAAAAAAGGGUUGUUCUUCAGACAAGAAUUACGAUCUCUUAGUUACUUGACGGAAAUUUUCUCCCGGCUUUUCUUGCAUAGAAACUUCGUAAGUCAUAGAAUAUGCAAUACAAACUUAUAUAAUUUGUCAACAUAUACAUCAAGACUUACAUCAAAAAGAUCACAACUCACAUCUUUAAGUAAAAACUUGUCUGCUAACUUCACAGUGUGACUUUCAUUAUAGCCUACUGUGGUUCCCUGCAUAAUAUACAGUUUUACCUGAAACUCCUUAACAAUAUCUGUGUUGAAAAAAAUGGCUCCAAAAAGAACCAAAACUGGUAACAAGUUCCCCACAUUUUUUAUUCGAAUAUUUUUAUAUGUUUAACAAAGCCAUGAGUUUUUGGUUUGUUCGGCGCAUGUGGUUAUGCAUGCUUUGGUUUGUUCUAUAGUUCAUGGGUUCAAAUCCACCCUUCAACAUUAUUAUUAUUCUU